UAUUGCACAAUGGGGGAAACCCUGAUGCAGCGACGCCGCGUGAGUGAAGAAGUAUUUCGGUACGUAAAGCUCUAUCAGCAGGGAAGAAAAAAAGUCCUUUGGACUUUGGACGGUACCUGACCAAGAAGCUCCGGCUAACUACGUGCCAGCAGCCGCGGUAAUACGUAGGGGGCAAGCGUUAUCCGGAUUUACUGGGUGUAAAGGGAGCGUAGACGGCGAUGCAAGUCUGAAGUGAACGGCGGGGGCCCAACCCCCGGACUGCUUUGGAAACUGUAUAGCUGGAGUGCAGGAGAGGUAAGUGGAAUUCCUAGUGUAGCGGUGAAAUGCGUAGAUAUUAGGAGGAACACCAGUGGCGAAGGCGGCUUACUGGACUGUAACUGACGUUGAGGCUCGAAAGCGUGGGGAGCAA
This 409-nucleotide ribosomal RNA is filed under the name uncultured bacterium. RNAcentral describes it as "bacterial SSU rRNA". It matches the Rfam family "Bacterial small subunit ribosomal RNA", at positions 362 to 771 of the family's 1533-position model. The record is from RNAcentral.